GAUCAUGGCUCAGGAUGAACGCUGGCGGCGUGCCUAACACAUGCAAGUCGAGCGAUCUCUUCGGAAGAGAGCGGCGGACGGGUGAGUAACGCGUGGGGUAACCCUGCCUCAUACACAUGGAUAACAUACCGAAAGGUAUGCUAAUACAAGAUGAUAUAAGAGAUUCGCAUGGAUUCUUAUCAAAGCUCCGGCGGUAUGAGAUGGACCCGCGUCUGAUUAGCUAGUUGGUAAGGUAAUGGCUUACCAAGGCGACGAUCAGUAGCCGACCUGAGAGGGUGAUCGGCCACAUUGGAACUGAGACACGGUCCAAACUCCUACGGGAGGCAGCAGUGGGGAAUAUUGCACAAUGGGCGAAAGCCUGAUGCAGCAACGCCGCGUGAGCGAUGAAGGCCUUCGGGUCGUAAAGCUCUGUCCUCAAGGAAGAUAAUGACGGUACUUGAGGAGGAAGCCCCGGCUAACUACGUG
RNAcentral lists this ribosomal RNA (465 nucleotides) under uncultured bacterium. RNAcentral's name for it is "bacterial SSU rRNA". It matches the Rfam family "Bacterial small subunit ribosomal RNA", at positions 15 to 507 of the family's 1533-position model. The record is from RNAcentral.